Molecule: long non-coding RNA, 202 nt
Filed under: Carica papaya (papaya)
Lineage: Eukaryota; Viridiplantae; Streptophyta; Magnoliopsida; Brassicales; Caricaceae
Description: long non-coding RNA (CPAP_LNC015796)
Source: RNAcentral
GAUGAAGUGAUAUCACACAAAGUGACAAUUUUUAGAUAAAGUGGCAUUUGAAAAACGGUAACCUUUUAGAUGAAUUAGUAUAUGAAAAGGCCUUUUAGAUAAAACGACAUGUGAAAGGUGGUAACCUUUUAGGUGAAAUGACAUGAUGAAAUAUGGCAAUUUUUAGAUGAAAUGGUAUAACAGAAUGGUGACAACCUUUCUC